RNAcentral lists this ribosomal RNA (493 nucleotides) under uncultured bacterium. RNAcentral describes it as "partial 16S ribosomal RNA". It matches the Rfam family "Bacterial small subunit ribosomal RNA", at positions 28 to 523 of the family's 1533-position model. The record is from RNAcentral.
GACGAACGCUGGCGGCGUGCUUAACACAUGCAAGUCGAACGCUGAAGCCCUUUCGGGGGUGGAUGAGUGGCGAACGGGUGAGUAACACGUGGGUAAUCUGCCCUGUACUUCGGGAUAAGCCUUGGAAACGGGGUCUAAUACCGGAUAGGACCUGUCCUCGCAUGGGGGUGGGUGGAAAGUUCCGGCGGUAUGGGAGGAGCCCGCGGCCUAUCAGCUUGUUGGUGGGGUAGUGGCCUACCAAGGCGACGACGGGUAGCCGGCCUGAGAGGGUGACCGGUCACACUGGGACUGAGACACGGCCCAGACUCCUACGGGAGGCAGCAGUGGGGAAUCUUACGCAAUGGGCGAAAGCCUGACGCAGCAACGCCGCGUGGGGGAUGACGGCCUUCGGGUUGUAAACCUCUUUCGACAUCGACGAAGGGGCCCUGUUGUGGGGUUUUGACGGUAGGUGUAGAAGAAGCACCGGCUAACUACGUGCCAGCAGCCGCGGUAA